RNA transcript from Ipomoea triloba (trilobed morning glory), 2803 nucleotides. It is a transcript of the gene named ETHYLENE INSENSITIVE 3-like 3 protein, with no coding region annotated. NCBI's taxonomy places the organism in Eukaryota, Viridiplantae, Streptophyta, Magnoliopsida, Solanales, Convolvulaceae. The record is from RefSeq and is a predicted model, not a curated record. The transcript has 3 exons.
UCUCCCACUAUCUUCUUCUCUUUUCAAAUUUUUUUUUUUCUCACCAAAAAAAAAAAAAAAGUAAAUUAAAUGAAUCUACUCUCAGGGGUCUAAUUUCGUGGAGCUCUGAAACUCGAUGGCUGUUAUGGAGGAGAUUGGAGUCGAUAGUUCGGAUAUUGAAGUUGAUGACAUAAGGUGCGAUAACAUAGCGGAGAAGGAUGUGAGUGAUGAAGAGAUUGAGGCAGAAGAGCUGGAGAGGAGGAUGUGGAAGGACCGAAUCAAGCUCAAGAGAAUCAAGGAAAGGCAGAAGGUUGCAGCUCAGCAAGCUUCGGAUAAGCUGAAAGGGAAGCAGCCCACGGAUCAAGCUACACGGAAGAAGAUGUCGAGAGCUCAAGAUGGAAUUCUCAAGUACAUGUUGAAGCUCAUGGAAGUGUGCAAGGUUCGGGGGUUUGUGUACGGGAUCAUCCCGGAGAAGGGAAAACCGGUUAGUGGAUCAUCUGAUAACAUCAGGGCGUGGUGGAAGGAGAAGGUGAAGUUUGACAAGAAUGGUCCCGCUGCUAUAGCUAAGUACGAAGCGGAAUGUCGUGCCAGGGUGGAGGGAGUCGGUAAUCUGAUGGGGAACUCACAGAGCGUUCUGCAGGAUUUACAAGAUGCCACAUUGGGGUCGCUUUUAUCUUCUUUGAUGCAACAUUGUGACCCGCCUCAGAGGAAGUACCCGCUGGAAAAAGGCGUACCGCCACCGUGGUGGCCAACGGGGAACGAAGAAUGGUGGGACAAAAUGGAUUUGCCUACGGGUCUCACUCCACCCUACAAGAAACCGCAUGACUUGAAGAAAAUGUGGAAAGUCGGUGUUCUAACUGCUGUUAUAAAGCACAUGUCACCUGACAUUGCAAAGAUCAGGAAGUUAGUCCGACAAUCGAAGUGCUUGCAGGAUAAGAUGACUGCUAAGGAGAGCUCGAUUUGGUUGGGCGUACUAGAAAGAGAGGAAGCCCUAAUCCGGCAGCCAAGCGGUGACAAUGGAUCAUCUGGUAUAAGUGAGGCACCUACUAGAGGCCGUAGUGAAAAGAAGAGACCUUCAGUCAGUAGUGACAGUGAUUAUGAUGUUGAUGGCAUUGAUGAUGGCCCGAGCUCUGUUUCAUCGAGGGAUGAGAGUGGAAACCAGGUAUUGGAUGUUCAUCCUUCAAACAUUGUUCCCAAGUCUCGUCAAAUUGAAAGGCAAGGGAAUAAACGAUCCAAGAGGCAAAAGAGGGUAAAACCAACCCCUGCUGUUCAAGAGACCCCACCAUCUCUUAAUCUUAAUGAUAAGGAGCACGGUGAUGAGCCAGGUGAUCCUUUGCCUGACAUUAACAAUUCGAAUACGACAUUAGCUGUACACUUGAUGAAUGAAAACCAAAAAGAUGGGUCCCAACCAGUGACUCCUUUGGAAAAACGUGCUGAGGGCCAAUCCCAUUUACCAUCGGGUGACUCUGAUCAUUCCAUCAUUCCAUCUGCUAAUGAAGUGUCUACACAGACUGCAUUUGCUGGCAAAAGGUCUAGCGUUCAUCCAAUGCCUCAAAAUUCUGAGGCUGUCCAGUAUGAAUCAAGGUCACAACUUGGUGCUUCAGAUUGUGCCAUUCCCCAUCAAAUUCAAGAUAGUCAAAUAUUUAACGGUCAGCAGUUUUCAGGAACGGAUGAUAGACCAGGAAGUUCAAUGUUUCACUAUGGACCUCUAAUUCCAGAAAUGCAUUAUGAACCUCACAAGUCUGGGUCUCAAAAUUCCGCGCUGCAUCCUGAACCACAAAGUUCCGGUUACCAUCAUGGAUCUCAAUAUCCUGACUUGCACCAAUCCUCUCUCUAUCAAUACUACAAUCCAUCUACUGAUUUUGGGUCCUCUCGUGAUGAAGAUAGGUCUCGUUUAGAAUUUAAUGAUCUUCAGAUGAGGCCGGAUAAUUUUGGAGUCAAUUCAACAGUGGUUCAAAGUACAGGAAACGAUGUCAAUGAUCACCAUUAUGGAAAAGACCCGUUUCAGAAUGACCACGAUAGACCUGUUGAUGUGCCGCCAAUGAUGACAAUCACAGAUAACUUUGAACCUCCAGUUACUAGUGUGUCGCCAGAUUAUACAAGACUGAACAGCCCAAUAAGUUUCGGAAUUGAUGUGCCAAAUGCAUUUGAGACCGACGUUGAUAGUUUCCUUGAUGAGGACUUGAUGACAAUAAUGACAUUCUUUGCCUCUUAAGUAGUCAUUUUUAUUUAUAGAAUGUCCCGAGUGUGAGUGCAGCAUUCAUUUACUCCUUUACCUCUUCUUCUCUCUUAGAGUUAAUCUGAAGUAUCUUAUACAAAUGCCCGAAUGCAGGAGAUAGAGAAUGCUGAAUCUAUUCCUAGUGCCUAGUGGGAAUGAGCCAUUUUCUCAUAGAUUGAGGACCUUGACUGUAAGAGCAGUACCUUUCUUGAAUCUGCAAGCAGGGAAUAUAUAGUGUUACCUGAAGAACAUUUUGAAGGGCCUGCUGUUGUACAUGCUGAAGAUCUCGAUUCAAACCAUGAAUCGAGCUCUUUCAUGUGUUGUAUACGCGGGAAUUUCUGGCUUGCAUGUGUGAAAAAUGAAGGAUUGAAGAAAGGGGAUAUGGCAGAGAAUUCUCUGGUACUAAAACAGCAUUCUUGAAUCUUGAUGAUGAUGAUGACGAUGAUGAUCUCUAACAUAGCAGUCAUGUAGUUCAUAUUAUUACAAAGAUGUUUGCUUUUCACUGUUCCAACGUUAGAAGCAGACAAUCACUGGAAAAUUGUCUCACUAGAAGUCCUAAAUGUCGACAGUUUCCAUGAACUUGAUAGUGAGAGUUUUUGGACACCA